This 605-nucleotide long non-coding RNA is filed under the name Homo sapiens (human). RNAcentral's name for it is "non-protein coding lnc-TP53TG3-14:1". Lineage: Eukaryota; Metazoa; Chordata; Mammalia; Primates; Hominidae. The record is from RNAcentral.
GCCCUACAUGUCUGUGGGUUCCCUGCGUGACCAGGUGACCUACCCGGACUCAGUGGAGGACAUGCGAAGGAAGGGCUACUCAGAGCAGGACCUGGAAGCCAUCCUGGACAUCAUGCACCUGCACCACAUCCUGCAGCGGGAGGGAGGUAGGAGGCCUGGGGAGGCUAUGUGUGACUGGAAGGACGUCCCGCCGGGUGGCGAGAAGCAGAGAAUCGGCAUGGCCCGCAUGUUCUACCACAGUACACCCUCCUGGAUGAAUGCACCAGUGCCGCCAUGAGAAUCAACGUGGAAGGCAAGAUCUUCCAGGCGGCCAAGGACGCAGGCAUUGCCCUGCUCUCCAUCACCCACCGGCCCUCCCUGUGUACCACACACACUUGCUACAGUUCGAUGGGGAGGGCGGCUGGAAGUUUGAGAAGCUGGGCUCGGCUUCCCGCCUGAGCCUGACAGAGGAGAAGCAGCGGCUGGAGCAGCAGCUGGUGGGCAUUCCCAAGAUGCAGCAGCACCUCCAGGAGCUCUGCCAAAUCCUGGGCGAGGCCGCGGCCCCAGCGCACGUGCCGGCACCUAGCCCACAAGGCCCUGGUGGCCUCCAGGGUGCCUCCACCUGA